Molecule: unclassified non-coding RNA, 353 nt
Filed under: soil metagenome
Description: partial contains 5.8S ribosomal RNA, internal transcribed spacer 2, and large subunit ribosomal RNA
Rfam family: 5.8S ribosomal RNA (bases 1-120)
Source: RNAcentral
GAUGAAGAACGCAGCGAAAUGCGAUAAGUAAUGUGAAUUGCAGAAUUCAGUGAAUCAUCGAAUCUUUGAACGCACAUUGCGCCCGCCAGUAUUCUGGCGGGCAUGCCUGUUCGAGCGUCAUUACAACCCUCAGGCCCCCGGGCCUGGCGUUGGGGAUCGGCGGAAGCCCCCUGUGGGCACACGCCGUCCCUCAAAUACAGUGGCGGUCCCGCCGCAGCUUCCAUUGCGUAGUAGCUAACACCUCGCAACUGGAGAGCGGCGCGGCCACGCCAUAAAACCCCCGACUUUUAGAAAGUUGACCUCGGAUCAGGUAGGAAUACCCGCUGAACUUAAGCAUAUCAAUAAGCGGAGGA